AUGGAGGUAGCUCUUGGCGUUUUCAUUAUGUUUACUAUGCUUAUAUUUUACCGUUAAAAGAAGGUAGUUCUUUCUCCUUUAAUAUCUGAAGUAUGGGAUCAACCAGCUUAUGCAACGUAUAAGCUCACUCUAUAUGUUUAGAUUCAUAUUCAGGAAUCCUAUGAAGCGGCAUCUGUUCAGACAGUGAAAACUUUCAGGACAGCUCUUCAUUUUUAGAGGACAUCCAUGACCCUGUGGGCUGGCCCUGGAAUCCAAGAGGAAGGAAAGUGUUCUCAGUCACCCCUGAAGACAGCAUGCCAUGAUACUCUCAAAGUUCCUGGAAGCUAAAAAUCUCUGAUAGCACAUAAGAAAGUCUGAAUUUGGCCCAAGGAUUAAAGAUUCUGACUGCGCUGCUUGACAGCAAAAUAUGGAAGGAUUCAGGACCUCCUCCAAAAAAGCAAUCAAUUCUAUCCAGCAUUGUGGGACUGUCAUGAGCUGCUUGAGACAAUUCUUCUAGGCAAAAGAACUGUCAACAUGGGGGCUGAUCCAGCACAAUGCAGGUUCUUCAUUAUAUAUUUAUCCCUAUGUUUGCCACAGUAUGGAUAAAACUAACAUUUUAAAAAGGAAAUUGACAUCAAUCUAGUUUUCUCAUUUUAAAAAAUUAUUUAAAAUUGUUCAGCUUUAGGAUUAAUUAACUCUUCUCCACGUAAGCAUUUUUAAAGCUCAACAUGGACAAAAGUUAUUAGCUGCUUAACUUCCAAAACAUCUGGACACCAUAAUAGAA
RNAcentral lists this long non-coding RNA (763 nucleotides) under Chrysemys picta bellii (western painted turtle). Its description in RNAcentral is "lncRNA (ENSCPBG00000010330.1)". The record is from RNAcentral. Lineage: Eukaryota; Metazoa; Chordata; Testudines; Emydidae.